This 1528-nucleotide ribosomal RNA is filed under the name Escherichia coli DEC10A. RNAcentral's name for it is "bacterial SSU rRNA". It matches the Rfam family "Bacterial small subunit ribosomal RNA". The record is from RNAcentral. Lineage: Bacteria; Pseudomonadati; Pseudomonadota; Gammaproteobacteria; Enterobacterales; Enterobacteriaceae.
GAGUUUGAUCAUGGCUCAGAUUGAACGCUGGCGGCAGGCCUAACACAUGCAAGUCGAACGGUAACAGGAAGCAGCUUGCUGCUUUGCUGACGAGUGGCGGACGGGUGAGUAAUGUCUGGGAAACUGCCUGAUGGAGGGGGAUAACUACUGGAAACGGUAGCUAAUACCGCAUAACGUCGCAAGACCAAAGAGGGGGACCUUCGGGCCUCUUGCCAUCGGAUGUGCCCAGAUGGGAUUAGCUUGUUGGUGGGGUAACGGCUCACCAAGGCGACGAUCCCUAGCUGGUCUGAGAGGAUGACCAGCCACACUGGAACUGAGACACGGUCCAGACUCCUACGGGAGGCAGCAGUGGGGAAUAUUGCACAAUGGGCGCAAGCCUGAUGCAGCCAUGCCGCGUGUAUGAAGAAGGCCUUCGGGUUGUAAAGUACUUUCAGCGGGGAGGAAGGGAGUAAAGUUAAUACCUUUGCUCAUUGACGUUACCCGCAGAAGAAGCACCGGCUAACUCCGUGCCAGCAGCCGCGGUAAUACGGAGGGUGCAAGCGUUAAUCGGAGUUACUGGGCGUAAAGCGCACGCAGGCGGUUUGUUAAGUCAGAUGUGAAAUCCCCGGGCUCAACCUGGGAACUGCAUCUGAUACUGGCAAGCUUGAGUCUCGUAGAGGGGGGUAGAAUUCCAGGUGUAGCGGUGAAAUGCGUAGAGAUCUGGAGGAAUACCGGUGGCGAAGGCGGCCCCCUGGACGAAGACUGACGCUCAGGUGCGAAAGCGUGGGGAGCAAACAGGAUUAGAUACCCUGGUAGUCCACGCCGUAAACGAUGUCGACUUGGAGGUUGUGCCCUUGAGGCGUGGCUUCCGGAGCUAACGCGUUAAGUCGACCGCCUGGGGAGUACGGCCGCAAGGUUAAAACUCAAAUGAAUUGACGGGGGCCCGCACAAGCGGUGGAGCAUGUGGUUUAAUUCGAUGCAACGCGAAGAACCUUACCUGGUCUUGACAUCCACGGAAGUUUUCAGAGAUGAGAAUGUGCCUUCGGGAACCGUGAGACAGGUGCUGCAUGGCUGUCGUCAGCUCGUGUUGUGAAAUGUUGGGUUAAGUCCCGCAACGAGCGCAACCCUUAUCCUUUGUUGCCAGCGGUCCGGCCGGGAACUCAAAGGAGACUGCCAGUGAUAAACUGGAGGAAGGUGGGGAUGACGUCAAGUCAUCAUGGCCCUUACGACCAGGGCUACACACGUGCUACAAUGGCGCAUACAAAGAGAAGCGACCUCGCGAGAGCAAGCGGACCUCAUAAAGUGCGUCGUAGUCCGGAUUGGAGUCUGCAACUCGACUCCAUGAAGUCGGAAUCGCUAGUAAUCGUGGAUCAGAAUGCCACGGUGAAUACGUUCCCGGGCCUUGUACACACCGCCCGUCACACCAUGGGAGUGGGUUGCAAAAGAAGUAGGUAGCUUAACCUUCGGGAGGGCGCUUACCACUUUGUGAUUCAUGACUGGGGUGAAGUCGUAACAAGGUAACCGUAGGGGAACCUGCGGUUGGAUCACC